RNAcentral lists this unclassified non-coding RNA (17 nucleotides) under Mus musculus (house mouse). RNAcentral describes it as "oocyte_clustered_small_RNA3215". Lineage: Eukaryota; Metazoa; Chordata; Mammalia; Rodentia; Muridae. The record is from RNAcentral.
UUGCUACCGGGUCACUG